UUUUUUUUUCUCAAUUGGACCACAUGCAUGCACUUCUGCUCUCACCGAGAAAUUGAUGGAAAAAAGAUGGUUGCGGUGUUCUUGCAUCAUCUGAUGAAACUAUUUCUACAGGAAGCAAUCAUUCAUGAGAUUUAAUUUGCCACUGCAUUUUGUACAGGAAUAUGGAGCUCAAGUCAUAUCCACCAUACCAACUGUACCAUAUAUCUUUGAAUAUGGCGAUGAAAGGUGAGCAUUUACAAUGAUAUUAUAAUUGUUCUCUGCUAGGAUAUCUGAGCUUGAUUGUUUUGUUCAGCAAAGUGCAAAUUGAGAACCCUGCGGCCUUGUCUUUCAAUGCUGGAAAACGUAUAACGGCCUGCUGGGAGCCAACAGUCAUUGCAACAAUUAUUAUUCCUAGUGAGUAAGAUCUGCUUCCUUUCUCAUUAGUUUUCCUGUUCCAUUUACAACUAGAAAGAGUGAUGAUGAUCAACCAUUUCUUUUAGGUAUGUUGGGCCUGUAAUUAUGCUUUGUUCGGAAAGGAGGGGUGAACAGCAAGAAUAUACAUUCAUUGAUGCGUAAUUGGUCCCCCCAAAUCACAUUUUUUAAGUAAAUGUUUUUUGUUUUUGCUCAUUGUGGCUAUGUUUGAUGCAGUAAUAGAGCUUUAUUGAAGUACCGAUUACCUUUGAGGGAGAUCAUUGUGGACUUCUACAAUGAGUUGAAAAGCAUAACAUCUGGCUAUGCUACUUUUGACUAUGAAGAUUCUGAGUAUGUAUCGUUUUCAAUUUAAAAAAUCAGAUAAGGUCUGGUUACACUACUGGUUUUGUCAUUUUUCGAGAUUUUGAGAUGAAAAUGAAUAUGAAUAUGGUUGUAAGGUUGUGGCUCAUCGAAUUCCUGUGCUCUGGUCAGUCUUUUCCGUUGAACAUUUUAUAUCCCCUUUGUUUCUUGAAAGUUGUUGGCCUUGCUUAUGAAUAUGACCCCUGGUGCAGGUCUCUAUCCAGCCUACUAAGUACCCACGAGAACAAAUUUUUGCUUUAGACAUCUUAUGUUUCAGGGAACAUCUCCCGGUGACUAUUUGACUAGUAACUGUUUGAGUCGUUAAAUGACUUAAACUGUUUUCACUUGCUUGAUUAAUUAGCCAAGUGGUGUACAAAUUAUUUACAUUCGAUGUGAGAUGGCUAUUCAAGUAGCACAUAGGAAUUUCUUCUAUGAUGGAAAAGGAAAAAAAAAAUGUGACAGCUUCGUAUCACUAUUUCUGGUUCUUGUUACACUAACUUACUUAAGUUCAUUUCAACAGGUAUCAAAAAUCUGAUCUUGUUAAGAUGGAUAUUCUACUUAACGGCCAGCCUGUUGAUGCUAUGGCUACUAUAAUCCAUAACCAAAAAGCUCAGAAGGUUGGAAGAGAAUUAGUGGACAAGCUGAAGAAAUUUAUAGAAAGGUAUCCAUUAUGCUCCUUGUUUUGGGACUCUGAUGUGUAAAAUGAACAAGUUAUGUCUAUAGGAAUUUAUAUAAAAAAUCAUGAGCUUGGCGAAUCUAGAUCCUACAUGUCUAACCAUCGGGUAGAGUUGAACUUUGUCUCCUUAAGUAAUGCUUGUGUUCAAUUCCAAUAAUUAGCUAAAGCAAUCAACCAUAACUUAUAUUUCCUUCAGCAGUGGGUGACUCUCUGAAUGCACAACACUAGACUUGCUGUAUUACUUUUUUCUGGUGUACUGAGUAAAAAAUCAUUGCAGUGUGAAAAUUUUUAUUUUUUGUCACGUAUAGUUCAUGCCCAAUGAUGGUCACUGGCCAGUGCUCUUUGAUUAGAUUGUUUCCGAGCAUUCCUACGACUCUAUAAAUUACAAUUGGAAGGGAAAUGUAGUUUCAUUAGAAAAGAGGAUUGUGAAGCAGAAAAAAGUGGAUUUCGGUAUUGGGGAAAACCGCUGCUGCGACAAUUUUUUUUAAUCCUUGUGCUGAUUGGAGACACUUUAUUUCCUUUAGCCACUCUUUCCACUUAAGUUUAUUUUGUAACUCUUUGGUCUCUCAUUGUGCAGGCAAAUGUUUGAGAUCACUAUACAAGCAGCAAUUGGUUCAAAGGUUAUUGCAAGGGAAACGUAAGAUAUUAGUUCUGCUUUAGUUUUCUUGAAUACUAAUCCCUCCGUUCCCUAAUAUAAGACGUUUUGGUAGUUUAGGAAUGGAGGGAGUACAUCAUUCCUUCAUUAUUUUUGUUAAAGAUUUGUGUUCAUUUGAAGUGCUUUGAAGUUAACAUUUGUACGCACUUCACUAUAUUUGCAAGUGCAUCUAUAGCUAUUUAGGAAUUGAACUUUUCUGUGAAUAAUUAUAUAGUUAUUAACAUGAAAUGCAUUUUCAGUUCGGAGUAAAGUCGGAUUUAUCCAUUCAAUUUCAGGCGUAGUUUGCCUGAAUGAGUAUGUUCGUUGGAACACCAUCUGUUCCUUAGAAUUUAGUGUCAUGGGAAGUGGUUUUGAUUUUUCUUUUAUAGUUUUCAUCAUAUUUAAAAAGCACUAGGUGCUAAUUGUGCGUAUUGCCACCAUCUUGUGCUUUCUGACCAAAGCGCACACUUAUGCGCAGAUGAAGCACACUUAAGUGCUAGGCGUUUUGCUAUCGCCUAGAGCCUACGUGCACUUAAGCCCCCGCCUAGGCGUGCCUUUUUAAACUAUUGUUUUCAUUGAGUUCUUUGUCUGACUUGAUAAUGGUUCCAUCUUAACCUUUUCAUUGGCCUAAAAAGAUCUGCUUGUAUAUCAUGACCAAUCAGCCUUUGUGCAUCAGUCCCAUGGUUCAGUGUCUCGUCCUAUUCUGUAUUUUGGUCAUGAAACAUGUGAAAUAGGUCCAGGUAGCUUGUUAGUCACCCAGUUCUAAUUUAUUUUCAACUGCCCAUAGCAUUAUUCAGUUACAUGAAAAAUAUUCUGUUCGGUAUCAGGUUAGCUUAGCUGGAGUACUCUUUUAUUUUCUUAAGUAAAAGCAUGUGCAUUUGACAAGUACUCCCUCCGUCCGGAAAUACUUGUCAGGGAAAUGGAUAAAAAUGGAUGUAUCUACAACUAAAAUACGUCUAGAUACAUCCAUUUCUCCGACAAGUAUUUUCGGACGGUGGGAGUACAUAAUUGAGCAUGUUGUCUUGUGUCAUUUCCAGCCUGUCAGCAAUGAGAAAGAAUGUUCUGGCCAAGUGUUAUGGUGGUGAUAUCACCCGCAAAAAGAAGUUGCUAGAGAAGCAGAAGGAAGGGAAGAAGCGUAUGAAACGUGUCGGGUCUGUCGAUAUCCCCCAAGAAGCGUUCCAUGAGCUACUAAAGGUCUCCAGUUCAAAGUAGACGAGCUGUACUUUAGUGUCGUAACCUCGUGUAGUCAUCUUCCUUCCUGAAAGGUGAGUUUUGGUCACACGAUCUUUGCACAUUAUAUCUCCAGCUUCCAUAGUAGCUUUGCCUUAUGCCUUUUUUGUUGCACUGCAGGCUUUCACUCCUUGUUCACCAAGUACAUACUGACGUUUUGCGCCGAGCAGCGUAGCACCACUGCUGUCAUUGCUCCUGUGCCCAAGGGUUAAACCGCCGGUCAAAGGGGUUUAUUUCACGCCGAGAAGCUCCGUCCUGCGGUGCUGGUGCUGCGAACCUUGGUGUUCCAGGAUGUUUUGGUGGUGCUAAAACAUGGACUCGCACCCUGGUGUGAGAAGAAAAAAAAAACCCGUACUGCCACACCCUGUUAUGCUAGUUCUUGCUGGAAAGUGGACAGCAUACGACGACGCUUGCUUGUUUCAUACUUUCAUAGUUGGCGCGAGCAUAUACGCAGAAUGUUGUGCCUCACUGCACUAUAUUUUUUUGGAGGAAAAGUGCCGAACAAUUCUACAAGUACAGUUAUACUUGGUUUUAUUUUGGAGAAGUUUUUCCAUUGUUCUCCNN
This 3854-nucleotide long non-coding RNA is filed under the name Triticum aestivum (bread wheat). Its description in RNAcentral is "long non-coding RNA (TAES_LNC017460)". The stretch from base 2943 to 3067 matches the Rfam family "MIR1120/MIR1122 microRNA precursor family". The record is from RNAcentral. Lineage: Eukaryota; Viridiplantae; Streptophyta; Magnoliopsida; Poales; Poaceae.